GGCGAGCGGGCUGUGCCUGCGCGCCCCCGCCUGGGGCUAUAAAAGCCUCGCCACCUGCUGCCUCUAGUGCGUCCAGUUGCCGGAGAAGCCAAUUCACCUCUUCCAGCGGCGACUCCUCUCGACAUGGACCCUGAGACCUGCCCCUGCCCGACUGGUGGUUCCUGCACCUGCUCUGGCUCCUGCAAGUGCGAGGGAUGCAAAUGCACCUCCUGCAAGAAGAGCUGCUGCUCCUGCUGCCCAGCGGAGUGUGAGAAAUGCGCCAAGGAUUGCGUGUGCAAAGGUGGAGAGGGGGCCGAGGCGGAGGCGGAGAAGUGCAGCUGCUGCCAAUGAGGACGUGCUCUCCGUGUGACGUGUGUAAAUAGUGCUGAGUGGCCCCGGGCAACCUCUCCCCGGGGUGAGGCUUGGCUGUGUGUCCCCUUCCCCUGCUAGCAGCUGGCAAGUGACAAUAAAUCCUAUGAAUGGCA
Long non-coding RNA from Equus quagga, 464 nucleotides. RefSeq lists it as uncharacterized. The transcript has 3 exons. Lineage: Eukaryota; Metazoa; Chordata; Mammalia; Perissodactyla; Equidae. The record is from RefSeq and is a predicted model, not a curated record.